This is a long non-coding RNA of Peromyscus californicus insignis, 725 nucleotides long. RefSeq lists it as uncharacterized. The transcript is spliced from 4 exons. Lineage: Eukaryota; Metazoa; Chordata; Mammalia; Rodentia; Cricetidae. The record is from RefSeq and is a predicted model, not a curated record.
CCUACCCCCUCAAGGGUCCCGAAACCCCUGCGCUGCGCUCGGAGCCCCGGGAAGCAGGAGAGGGUCCCUAGUUAGACUUAUGAGUGGGAGGGACUAGGGGGUCGACAGACUGGGCAGAGAGAGAUCCGUAACCGGUCCCUGGAGGCAGCUUUCUGGGAAUCCAGCCCCUUCCCCGAGGAUGCAAAUUCCAUAGGGAGGAUUAACUCCAGUGGACUCUCGUGUACUCCCUCCGGAGACCAAGUUUGCCAUCCGAGGACACAAGAUUGGAUGAGAGGCUUCCGAAGACCAUCUGAACCAACUUCCACCAAGUUCUCUGAUUCCCUUCAGUGACAGUUCAGAGAUUUCCCACUUUCUGCAUUCAUCUCUUCUCUGCCAGCUGAAGAUUCAACAGCCUACACCAGUCUUGAGCCUGCCUGUGACCUGCAUUUAUUGUUCCAGAAGACUCCAGGCGUUACGAAUACCAGUUACCAACACUCAUAAACUCAUGAACCCGACUUCAAGCCCCAUCCAUCAUGCUCACCACUUUUUUGAUAUUAUCCUCCGAAAUCUUCCCGCAUAUUUUCCUUCUAACACCCAAGAGAUCACCAGUACCCAACUUACAGAUUUUGUUCUUGAUCUCUUUCUCCAAGGUGAUCUCAUGGAUUUCACUUGGGAUGAGGUAAUGCAGUUUCUGGAACUUCCGUAAAAAUAUACUAUUAUGUCUCUCAAAUAAAAGUGGAUCUUAA